ACUUAAAUUGAAGAGUUUGAUCAUGGCUCAGAUUGAACGCUGGCGGCAGGCCUAACACAUGCAAGUCGAGCGGUAGCACAGAGAGCUUGCUCUCGGGUGACGAGCGGCGGACGGGUGAGUAAUGUCUGGGAAACUGCCUGAUGGAGGGGGAUAACUACUGGAAACGGUAGCUAAUACCGCAUAACGUCGCAAGACCAAAGUGGGGGACCUUCGGGG
RNAcentral lists this ribosomal RNA (216 nucleotides) under Klebsiella pneumoniae subsp. pneumoniae KPNIH4. Its description in RNAcentral is "partial 16S ribosomal RNA". It matches the Rfam family "Bacterial small subunit ribosomal RNA", at positions 1 to 209 of the family's 1533-position model. The record is from RNAcentral. Lineage: Bacteria; Pseudomonadati; Pseudomonadota; Gammaproteobacteria; Enterobacterales; Enterobacteriaceae.